RNAcentral lists this non-coding RNA (24 nucleotides) under Arabidopsis thaliana (thale cress). The record is from RNAcentral. Lineage: Eukaryota; Viridiplantae; Streptophyta; Magnoliopsida; Brassicales; Brassicaceae.
UCUUCACCAGGUCUGAACAGUCCG